Molecule: ribosomal RNA, 1379 nt
Filed under: Nitrososphaera sp.
Lineage: Archaea; Thermoproteati; Nitrososphaerota; Nitrososphaeria; Nitrososphaerales; Nitrososphaeraceae
Description: partial 23S ribosomal RNA
Rfam family: Bacterial large subunit ribosomal RNA
Source: RNAcentral
UCCUGUGUGACCGAUAGUGAACCAGUACCGCGAGGGAAAGGUGAAAAGAACCCCAAGUCGGGGAGUGAAAAGGACCUGAAACCGUACGCCUGCAAGCGGUCGGAGCUGAUGAGUCAAAUCAUUCAGUGACGGCGUGCCUUUUGCAUAAUGAGCCUACGAGUUACGGUGACUGGCAAGGUUAAGUGAGUCAACUCACGCAGCCGCAGCGAAAGCGAGUCUGAACAGGGCGCAUGUCGACUUUAAGUAGUCGUCGAGUCAGUUGCUGUAGACGCGAAACCAAGUGAUCUACCCAUGAGCAGGUUGAAGGUGGGGUAACACCCAGUGGAGGACCGAACCAGUAAACGUUGAAAAGUUUUUGGAUGACUUGUGGGUAGGGGUGAAAGGCCAAUCAAACUUGGAGAUAGCUCGUACUCUCCGAAAUGCCUUUAGGGGCAGCCUCGCUUGAGAGUCUACUAGAGGUAGAGCUACCAGCAGGACUAGGGGGAGUCACAUCCUACCAAAUCCUAGUGAACUCCGAAUGCUAGUAGACUGCGGCGGGAGUGAGGGUGAGGGUGCUAAGGUCCUCAUCCGAGAGGGAAACAACCCAGACCAUCCGCUAAGGUCCCCAAGUGACUACUAAGUUGAACAAAGGGGGUCUGCCUGCGGCGACAGCCAGGAGGUUGGCUUAGAAGCAGCCAUUCCUUUAAAGAGUGCGUAACAGCUCACUGGUCGAGCGGGCGGGGCACCGAUAAUAAACGGGCAUCAAGUACAGUACCGAAGCUGUGGGAAGAUAGCGUAAGCUAUGAUUCGGUAGGAGAGCAUUCUAGUAUCAGAGAAGCAGACCCGUCAGGGUUUGUGGAGCGACUGGAAAAGCAAAUGUAGGCAUGAGUAACGAUAAUCAAGGUGAAAACCCUUGACACCGGAAGACUAAGGUUUCCUGAUCAACGUCAAUCGGAUCAGGGUUAGUCGGCACCUAAGGGGUUAGGGAAACUGAAGCUCCGAUGGCGAGCGGGUUAAUAUUCCCGCACUGGUAUGAGGAGUCUUUUCAUGACGGAGCAAGCAAGUGCCUGCGCACUGACGGAAUAGUGCGUUAAACCUGCCCUGGCAGGGAUAGUACCCCACGGCUUCGGCCACGGGGAUAAUGGCACGGAGGAGCUUCCAAGAAAAGCAGCGCUGACAAUUGCAAACUGAGCCGUACCGCAAACCGACACAGGUAGUCGGGUAUAAACGUACCAAGGUGCUCGAGUGAGUCACGGCUAAGGAACUCGGCAAAAUGGCCCUGUAACUUCGGGAGAAGGGGAGCCUCUCUUAGCAAUAAGAAGGUCGCAGCGAAUGGGCCCAGGCGACUGUUUACCAAAAACACAGGACUCUGCUAAAACGAAAGUUGACGUAUAGGGUCU